CCAGGAAUUCGCCACCAAAAGUCGCAAGCCCAUGGGACGACGAUGCACAGGAUUUGUACCGGAGAUUCUCAGAUAUUUAAGACGUGAUUAAAAAGCAACAAACGAUUAACAAUCAGCAUCAAUAUAGAAGUUAAGAAUAAUGAAAGAUGACAAUAAUAUGUAUGUCACCAAUCAAAAACAGGUAAAUCUAUUAUCUAUCGGGGAACAACAUACUAAUCAGGCAGGGCAUUAAUAAGAAAAUUCUACCAAGGAAAUUGAAGAACAGAAAGCCUUUCCAAAGAGACAAACUAUACCAUACCAUAUUAAUUCUGAUAUGGUAAAAUUGAGAGGAAGACAGUCACAUUGAGAAAGAGUAUUAUUCACAUGGAGCACUUGAUACCCUACAAGAUUCCUGGGUUUCAACGACGAUUUUUGUGAUAUGCUUGUAUUUUAAUUUUAUUGCUUGAUCAUUGAUGUCUUGAUUUGAAACUAUUUGGCAUGUCUAAAGGAUAUUAGUUUUAUAUUUGAUAUUACAUAAAAUCCUAACCCCCAAAUGCAAACACCACAAAUGCAAACGAACAGAACGAUGAAACCCAAACAGAACGAUUUCAUUUUAUUCUGAUUUCACUCCAAUUACAGAAACGAACAGAAGGAUAGAAACCCAAAAAGAAAUAGGGGAGAUACAGCUAGAAACCCAACGAACAUACCUUCUCCAAAUUGAUUCCGGCGUCCGUUGAUGAUGCCCAGCGGGAAAAUCCGGCGAUAGGGGAGAUUGGAGAAAUCCGGCGAUAGUAGGAGAGUUUGAAUUUGGAGAAAGAUAAGAAUUUGUACACCUAUGCUGUGAGGGUGUGAGGUCGACGAUCA
Molecule: long non-coding RNA, 843 nt
Filed under: Zostera marina
Lineage: Eukaryota; Viridiplantae; Streptophyta; Magnoliopsida; Alismatales; Zosteraceae
Description: long non-coding RNA (ZMAR_LNC001583)
Source: RNAcentral